This 429-nucleotide ribosomal RNA is filed under the name Bacteroidota bacterium. RNAcentral describes it as "Bacteroidetes bacterium partial 16S ribosomal RNA". It matches the Rfam family "Bacterial small subunit ribosomal RNA", at positions 355 to 776 of the family's 1533-position model. Lineage: Bacteria; Pseudomonadati; Bacteroidota. The record is from RNAcentral.
UAGGGAAUCUUCGGCAAUGGGGGGAACCCUGACCGAGCAACGCCGCGUGAGUGAAGAAGGUUUUCGGAUCGUAAAGCUCUGUUGUUAAGGAAGAACGAGUGUGAGAAUGGAAAGUUCAUGCUGUGACGGUACUUAACCAGAAAGGGACGGCUAACUACGUGCCAGCAGCCGCGGUAAUACGUAGGUCCCGAGCGUUGUCCGGAUUUAUUGGGCGUAAAGCGAGCGCAGGCGGUUAGAAAAGUCUGAAGUGAAAGGCAGUGGCUCAACCAUUGUAGGCUUUGGAAACUGUUUAACUUGAGUGCAGAAGGGGAGGGUGGAAUUCCAUGUGUGGCGGUGAAAUGCGUAGAUAUAUGGGGGAAAACCGGUGGCGAAGGCGGCUCUCUGGUCUAUAACUGACGCCGAGGCUCGAAAGCGUGGGGGGCGAACAGA